Molecule: ribosomal RNA, 468 nt
Filed under: uncultured bacterium
Lineage: Bacteria
Description: partial 16S ribosomal RNA
Rfam family: Bacterial small subunit ribosomal RNA
Source: RNAcentral
GACGAACGCUGGCGGCGUGCUUAACACAUGCAAGUCGAACGGAAAGGCCCUGCUUUUGUGGGGUGCUCGAGUGGCGAACGGGUGCGUAACACGUGAGUAACCUGCCCUUGACUUUGGGAUAACUUCAGGAAACUGGGGCUAAUACCGGAUAGGAGCUCCUGCUGCAUGGUGGGGGUUGGAAAGUUUCGGCGGUUGGGGAUGGACUCGCGGCUUAUCAGCUUGUUGGUGGGGUAGUGGCUUACCAAGGCUUUGACGGGUAGCCGGCCUGAGAGGGUGACCGGCCACAUGGGGACUGAGAGACGGCCCAGACUCCUACGGGAGGCAGCAGUGGGGAAUAUUGCACAAUGGGCGGAAGCCUGAUGCAGCAACGCCGCGUGCGGGAUGACGGCCUGCGGGUUGUAAACCGCUUUCGCCUGUGACGAAGCGUGAGUGACGGUAAUGGGUAAAGAAGCACCGGCUAACUACGUG